UAAAGAAAGACAUAUUGGAUAUGAGGUUGGCUUGAAACUAAUCUGAGAGGGUUCAAUUCCUUCCUUUCUUGUU
Molecule: transfer RNA, 73 nt
Filed under: Diphylla ecaudata (Hairy-legged vampire bat)
Lineage: Eukaryota; Metazoa; Chordata; Mammalia; Chiroptera; Phyllostomidae
Description: tRNA-Ser
Rfam family: tRNA
About the family: Transfer RNA (tRNA) molecules are approximately 80 nucleotides in length. Their secondary structure includes four short double-helical elements and three loops (D, anti-codon, and T loops).
Source: RNAcentral